GCGAGCGUCGUACAGAGGCAGUACAUCAGCUUCCCAAGCUGAGAACGCGGGUUCGAUUCCCGUCGCUCGCUCCA
This 74-nucleotide transfer RNA is filed under the name Acidimicrobiales bacterium. RNAcentral's name for it is "tRNA-Gly". It matches the Rfam family "tRNA". Rfam says of the family: Transfer RNA (tRNA) molecules are approximately 80 nucleotides in length. Their secondary structure includes four short double-helical elements and three loops (D, anti-codon, and T loops). RNAcentral also lists the same sequence under 2 other names. The record is from RNAcentral. Lineage: Bacteria; Bacillati; Actinomycetota; Acidimicrobiia; Acidimicrobiales.